AGGACGAACGCUGGCGGCGUGCUUAACACAUGCAAGUCGAGCGGAAAGGCCCUUCGGGGUACUCGAGCGGCGAACGGGUGAGUAACACGUGAGCAACUUGCCCCUGGCUCUGGGAUAGCCUCCGGAAACGGGGAUUAAUACCGGACAUUCACUUCCUUCCGCAUGGUUGGUGGUGGAAAGUUUUUUCGGCCGGGGAGGGGCUCGCGGCCUAUCAGCUUGUUGGCGGGGUAACGGCCCACCAAGGCGACGACGGGUAGCCGGCCUGAGAGGGCGACCGGCCACACUGGGACUGAGACACGGCCCAGACUCCUACGGGAGGCAGCAGUGGGGAAUAUUGCGCAAUGGGCGGAAGCCUGACGCAGCGACGCCGCGUGGGGAUGAAGGCCUUCGGGUUGUAAACCCCUUUCACCAGGAGCGAAUCCAGACGGUACCUGGGGAAGAAGCGCCGGCUAACUACGCGCCGAGCAGCCGC
Molecule: ribosomal RNA, 472 nt
Filed under: uncultured bacterium
Lineage: Bacteria
Description: SSU rRNA
Rfam family: Bacterial small subunit ribosomal RNA
Source: RNAcentral